RNAcentral lists this ribosomal RNA (253 nucleotides) under uncultured bacterium. Its description in RNAcentral is "partial 16S ribosomal RNA". It matches the Rfam family "Bacterial small subunit ribosomal RNA", at positions 524 to 776 of the family's 1533-position model. The record is from RNAcentral.
UACGUAGGGUGCGAGCGUUGUCCGGAAUUAUUGGGCGUAAAGGGCUCGUAGGCGGUCUGUCGCGUCGAAAGUGAAAACUCAGGGCUUAACCCUGAGCCUGCUUCCGAUACGGGCAGACUAGAGGUAUGCAGGGGAGAACGGAAUUCCUGGUGUAGCGGUGAAAUGCGCAGAUAUCAGGAGGAACACCGGUGGCGAAGGCGGCUUGCUGGGCCAGUUCUGACGCUGAGGAGCGAAAGCGUGGGGAGCGAACAGG